Arachis ipaensis is the source of this 243-nucleotide non-coding RNA. NCBI's taxonomy places the organism in Eukaryota, Viridiplantae, Streptophyta, Magnoliopsida, Fabales, Fabaceae. The record is from RefSeq and is a predicted model, not a curated record.
AGCCGCCAGCCGCCCGCAGUCAUCCUCUUCGUCUCACUGCCGGUCUGAACUCUGAAGUCUGAACUCUGAAGGAACUAAGGAAGUAGGAACAGAACAGACCCGCGGCUGUCUCUCAUCGCCGUCGCCAUUGCCGCGCCGUCGUCCUCGCCCUUGCUGCGCCGUCGAACUCGCCCUUGCUGCGCCGUCAAACUCGCCGUUGCCUCGCUCUUCUGCUCUGUCAAACAGGGUGAAGACCUUAUUUUG